UACAGAGGGUGCGAGCGUUGUCCGGAAUCACUGGGCGUAAAGGGCGCGUAGGCGGCUUGAUAAGGUUGCGGUGAAAGCCCGGGGCUCAACCCCGGGUCGGCCGUGGCAACUGUCGAGCUGGAGCACUGUAGAGGCAGGUGGAAUUCCGGGUGUAGCGGUGGAAUGCGUAGAGAUCGUAAGGAAGACCAGUGGCGAAGGCGAGUUUCUGGACAGUUACUGACGCUGAGGCACGAAGGCCAGGGGAGCAAACGGG
This 253-nucleotide ribosomal RNA is filed under the name uncultured bacterium. RNAcentral describes it as "partial 16S ribosomal RNA". It matches the Rfam family "Bacterial small subunit ribosomal RNA", at positions 524 to 776 of the family's 1533-position model. The record is from RNAcentral.